RNAcentral lists this transfer RNA (74 nucleotides) under Tepidisphaera mucosa. RNAcentral's name for it is "tRNA-Arg". It matches the Rfam family "tRNA". Rfam says of the family: Transfer RNA (tRNA) molecules are approximately 80 nucleotides in length. The record is from RNAcentral. RNAcentral also lists the same sequence under 2 other names. Lineage: Bacteria; Pseudomonadati; Planctomycetota; Phycisphaerae; Tepidisphaerales; Tepidisphaeraceae.
GUUUCCGUAGCUCAAUUGGAUAGAGCGUCGGCCUCCGGAGCCGAAGGUUGCAGGUUCGAGCCCUGCCGGAAACG